AAAUAGUACUUUGCAGAGAGAGUUAACAGGGCGUGAACCGUUGGUUGGCAAACGAAUCGGAGCCACGAAGUCGUUUCGUUGAGUUGGGUCAAGUUCAGCCUAGCAGAGAUGUUGGGUGUAUUCUUGGUUCAACCUAUGUAAGCGUACACUGCAACCAGUUAGACGAUUGGAGAUGGGCCCAGCUAACUGUGGGUUUACUCAUGGUUGGCGAAGCAUUUGUUUGCUCGAGUUAGUAGUAACGAGGUAAAUUUCGGUUUAUUCUUGUUGCUGGGCUUGUGGCAAGUGAACUAUCACCAAAUACUGACUGGCAAAAUGAAAAUCGCUAUAUGCGUAAUAUAAAAUGCGCCUUUCGCAUAGAUGUCUACGCGCUUGACCAUAGGGUUUAAGCUCAGCAUUCUUGAAUUUAGACUUGCUCGCUACCAAUGGGGCAACUCUUGGUGCUUGUAUAGCUUCUAUCUAAUCGGGUGUUGACUUGAUUCUAUGUCGUUUGAGUGUGAAUCGUUUGGAUGUUUAUGUGAUGAGGUUAGCAAACAUUGGCAGUGAGUAGGUCGGCUUUCCGAACGACCCGUCUUGAAACACGGACCAAGGAGUCUAAUUAGGCAUCGAGUCGAUCGGUCUUGAUAGGCCAGACAGUGGGGCUUGACCCUGCGAUUGAAGGCGUAGAGAAAUCAAAUCAUGUGAUCCUGUGGACAAUACCAGUCCUAUGGCGCAACAUGUGCCUGUUCGUAUAGUAAUGUUAGCAAUAACUUACUGAGCGGAGCAAAGAGAUACCUGAUUGGUACCCGAAAGAUGGUGAACUAUGCUUGGGCAAAUUGAAGCCAGAGGAAACUCUGGUGGAGGAUUGUAGCGAUUCUGACGUGCAAAUCGAUCGUCAGACCUGAGUAUAGGGGCGAAAGACUAAUCGAACCAUC
Molecule: ribosomal RNA, 911 nt
Filed under: Dialox sp. 28sd2-5r84
Lineage: Eukaryota; Metazoa; Arthropoda; Arachnida; Trombidiformes; Diptilomiopidae
Description: eukaryotic LSU rRNA
Rfam family: Eukaryotic large subunit ribosomal RNA
Source: RNAcentral